UUGUUAUCGGUGAAGAUAUGGUGGUCGAUCUCGAACCUAUUGUUGCUGUGACGAUGGGCAUUGAAUUUUGUAUCUAGCUCAUCAAGAUUGUAACUUGCUUUGUGUUACGGACUCGUCACCCUUGUCAGGGUAGAGUGGUAGUUCCAGCGCCAUCUACGAGUCCGCACCCGAACUGCCCGGGAAUCGUACGUAAUAUGGACAAUGCCAUCUGAGGGUGGCUAUCUAAAACCUAUAAAUGACUAAAGAUUCCUGCCUUGGUCAGCCAGAGGGGUCGUUGUGAGUGACCUCUGGUGAGGUGACGCAUCAAGACCAGCACCACCUAGUGCGUGAUACAGAGCAUAAUGUCAACUCCCCAGUAGGCCCAGUGCAGGAUCUCCCAUCACCUAGGCAGACCGCCUCAGCCAUUUCCUCGAUACACAAAGGCACUGUAUCACUGCAACAGUCGAGAACAAAUUCACAACAUCUAGCUGCAACAGCCACGUGCAAACACGAAGAUGCGGAGCAACACGUCCUCCUCGCAUCAUGCAGCAGACCGCACUAAGGACGGCCAACCAAACACGCGGCUCACUAAUCUCAACUCGGGCCACGGCAGUUUUGGGUCAUGUCUGCCAGCUGGCCUCUCUGUGGGGACCUUCACACCCUCUCGCCCCUCUCAACACCAAAUAGCCAAAGCUCAUCCCCCGCAAGCAGAAUAA
This is a non-coding RNA of Procambarus clarkii (red swamp crayfish), 695 nucleotides long. NCBI's taxonomy places the organism in Eukaryota, Metazoa, Arthropoda, Malacostraca, Decapoda, Cambaridae. The record is from RefSeq and is a predicted model, not a curated record.